This 619-nucleotide ribosomal RNA is filed under the name uncultured Shigella sp. Its description in RNAcentral is "bacterial SSU rRNA". It matches the Rfam family "Bacterial small subunit ribosomal RNA", at positions 1 to 595 of the family's 1533-position model. Lineage: Bacteria; Pseudomonadati; Pseudomonadota; Gammaproteobacteria; Enterobacterales; Enterobacteriaceae. The record is from RNAcentral.
CGCGCGGAUCUUCCAGAGAUUAGAGUUUGAUCCUGGCUCAGAUUGAACGCUGGCGGCAGGCCUAACACAUGCAAGUCGAACGGUAACAGGAAACAGCUUGCUGUUUCGCUGACGAGUGGCGGACGGGUGAGUAAUGUCUGGGAAACUGCCUGAUGGAGGGGGAUAACUACUGGAAACGGUAGCUAAUACCGCAUAACGUCGCAAGACCAAAGAGGGGGACCCUCGGGCCUCUUGCCAUCGGAUGUGCCCAGAUGGGAUUAGCUUGUUGGUGGGGUAACGGCUCACCAAGGCGACGAUCCCUAGCUGGUCUGAGAGGAUGACCAGCCACACUGGAACUGAGACACGGUCCAGACUCCUACGGGAGGCAGCAGUGGGGAAUAUUGCACAAUGGGCGCAAGCCUGAUGCAGCCAUGCCGCGUGUAUGAAGAAGGCCUUCGGGUUGUAAAGUACUUUCAGCGGGGAGGAAGGGAGUAAAGUUAAUACCUUUGCUCAUUGACGUUACCCGCAGAAGAAGCACCGGCUAACUCCGUGCCAGCAGCCGCGGUAAUACGGAGGGUGCAAGCGUUAAUCGGAAUUACUGGGCGUAAAGCGCACGCAGGCGGUUUGUUAAGUCAGAUGU